AUUGAACGCUGGCGGCAUGCCUUACACAUGCAAGUCGAACGGUAACAGGCCUUUUGGUGCUGACGAGUGGCGAACGGGUGUGUAAUGCAUCGGAAAAUACCCAGAGGAGUGGGAUAACGCAGCGAAAGCUGUGCUAAUACCGCAUGUGAUUUGAGGAUGAAAGCGGGGGACCGAGCAGCAAUGUUUGUCCUCGCGUCUUUCGAGCUGCCGAUGUCGGAUUAGCUAGUUGGGGGGGUAACGGCCUACCAAGGCGACGAUCCGUAGCUGGUCUGAGAGGGUGAGCAGCCACACUGGAACUGAGACACGGCCCAGACUCCUACGGGAAGCAGCAGUGGGGAAUAUUGGACAAUGGGCGCAAGCCUGAUCCAGCAAUGCCGCGUGCGGGAAGAAGGUCUUCGGAUUGUAAACCGCUUUAGGGAGGGAGGAAACGGAGUACGCUAAUACCGGGCGCUAAUGACGGUACCUGCAGAAUAAGCACCGGCUAACUACGUG
Molecule: ribosomal RNA, 492 nt
Filed under: uncultured bacterium
Lineage: Bacteria
Description: partial 16S ribosomal RNA
Rfam family: Bacterial small subunit ribosomal RNA
Source: RNAcentral